RNAcentral lists this ribosomal RNA (112 nucleotides) under uncultured bacterium. Its description in RNAcentral is "partial 16S ribosomal RNA". It matches the Rfam family "Bacterial small subunit ribosomal RNA", at positions 1357 to 1482 of the family's 1533-position model. The record is from RNAcentral.
UUACCGUGAAUACGUUCCCGGGUCUUGUACACACCGCCCGUCAAACCAUGAAAGUCACCAAUACCUGACGUCUGCGCUAGUCGCGGCCCAAGGUAGGGGGAUAAUUGGGGUU